UACAUGGGGUGCAACCGUUGCUCGGAAUUAUUGGGCGUAAAGCGCGCGUAGGCGGUUACUCAAGUCGGAUGUGAAAGCCCUCGGCUUAACUGAGGAAGUGCACCCGAAACUGAGUAGCUAGAGUACCAAAGAGGGUCGCGGAAUUCCCGGUGUAGAGGUGAAAUUCGUAGAUAUCGGGAGGAACACCGGUGGCGAAGGCGGCGACCUGGGUGGAUACUGACGCUGAGGCGCGAAAGCGUGGGGAGCAAACAGG
This 253-nucleotide ribosomal RNA is filed under the name uncultured bacterium. Its description in RNAcentral is "partial 16S ribosomal RNA". It matches the Rfam family "Bacterial small subunit ribosomal RNA", at positions 524 to 776 of the family's 1533-position model. The record is from RNAcentral.